This 500-nucleotide ribosomal RNA is filed under the name uncultured bacterium. RNAcentral's name for it is "bacterial SSU rRNA". It matches the Rfam family "Bacterial small subunit ribosomal RNA", at positions 30 to 518 of the family's 1533-position model. The record is from RNAcentral.
AUUGAACGCUGGCGGCAUGCCUUACACAUGCAAGUCGAACGGUAACGGGCCUUCGGGUGCCGACGAGUGGCGAACGGGUGAGUAAUGUAUCGGAACGUACCUUUCAGUGGGGGAUAACGUAGCGAAAGUUACGCUAAUACCGCAUAUUCUGUGAGCAGGAAAGCAGGGGAUCGCAAGACCUUGCGCUGAUUGAGCGGCCGAUAUCAGAUUAGCUAGUUGGUGAGGUAAAGGCUCACCAAGGCGACGAUCUGUAGCGGGUCUGAGAGGAUGAUCCGCCACACUGGGACUGAGACACGGCCCAGACUCCUACGGGAGGCAGCAGUGGGGAAUUUUGGACAAUGGGCGAAAGCCUGAUCCAGCCAUGCCGCGUGCAGGAAGAAGGCCUUCGGUUGUAACUAGCUUAGUCUUAGGAAAAGGGGUAGGACGGAGGUUAAGUACCUACGUGCUUUGAUGGUACUGGAAGAAUAAGACACCGGCUAACUACGUAGCCAGCAGCCGAC